This 406-nucleotide ribosomal RNA is filed under the name uncultured bacterium. RNAcentral describes it as "partial 16S ribosomal RNA". It matches the Rfam family "Bacterial small subunit ribosomal RNA", at positions 30 to 526 of the family's 1533-position model. The record is from RNAcentral.
AUUGAACGCUGGCGGCAGGCCUAACACAUGCAAGUCGAGCGAGCGGCGGACGGGUGAGUAAUGUCUGGGAAUCUGCCUGAUGGAGGGGGAUAACUACUGGAAACGGUAGCUAAUACCGCAUACCAUCGGAUGUGCCCAGAUGGGAUUAGCUAGUAGGUGGGGUAAUGGCUCACCUAGGCGACGAUCCCUAGCUGGUCUGAGAGGAUGACCAGCCACACUGGAACUGAGACACGGUCCAGACUCCUACGGGAGGCAGCAGUGGGGAAUAUUGCACAAUGGGCGCAAGCCUGAUGCAGCCAUGCCGCGUGUGUGAAGAAGGCCUUCGGGUUGUAAAGUACUUUCAGCGGGGAGGCGUUACCGGCAGAAGAAGCACCGGCUAACUCCGUGCCAGCAGCCGCGGUAAUUC